This is a long non-coding RNA of Triticum aestivum (bread wheat), 3640 nucleotides long. RefSeq lists it as uncharacterized. The transcript is spliced from 4 exons. NCBI's taxonomy places the organism in Eukaryota, Viridiplantae, Streptophyta, Magnoliopsida, Poales, Poaceae. The record is from RefSeq and is a predicted model, not a curated record.
AGAAACCCCCACCGGCACGACCCCUCCCACGCCUCCAGUGCGCCGCCACCCGCCACCACAUUGCUGCGCGCCACCCCCCACCUCCAGUGCGCCGCCUCCAGUGCCCCGCCACGCUGUUGCGCGCCGUCGGGCGCGGCGACGGCGAUCUCCGGCCAGAUCCGGCUGAGGAGGCGAGUAGGAGUCGGAUCCUGUUCCGGGGACGGUGUGGAGAUGAUCUAGGAGGCGCGGGAAAAGGUCCAGCGGCGGGGCUUGAACUCCAAGUUCUUGGCGGCGGCGUUCCUCGCCGGUUCCGAGCGAGCCACCUCCAACAGAUUCUGCGUCUUGCGGCGAUGGUUCGUAGCCACAAUCUUCCCUCGCGUCCGGGCUCCUCCUCCUCCUCCUCCGCCCGAACAAUCGAUUCCCACCUAGCCGGGGAUGGCGGCGCGCGAGGACGCCAGCAGCAGGAACGGCGGCGUGGAGGCCUUCCUGGCGUCGUACGCGGUGUCUGGCGACGACGCUUACGGCGCAGCCAGGGCCGUGCUUGAGCGCCUCCAGGCCCCCGCCACGUGCGCCAAGGCAAGGCGCCGUCCGUCGCCGCCUCGCUGACGACCCCGCCGCCGGGCAGGAGGAACGCUUCCGCGCCUUCAACCUCCGCAUCCACGACGUCGUCCUGCAAGAUCAGGGCGCCUGCGACGUGACACAGUCGUUUUCUUCGGCCGAGCGCUGAAAAGGGGACGACGGCUGCAUCGCCAUGCCAUUUGUAGCUCAAGAUUUGUAAGCCGCACAAGGUCAUCUCUACCGCUUCACUUCUGGGUUGAAGGUCAAAGUCGGCGACCUGUAUACAAGCUGUCCCAUGGCUGUUCGCUGUGGGAUGUGAUCGAGAGGUGAGGCCUCUUUGCCUGUUGAACAGGUGUAGGGCCUCCCGCUUAUUCCUACUUUCUUGCAGUCAAAGGACGGGGUUCAGUGAAACCAGAGCAAACUAAGGUCUAUGGUUAUCUCCCGAAAAAAAGGGUGUAUGGUUAUUUUAAUUCACCGUUCUUUCUUUUAGAAAAGUCACUGUUAUUCGUAGCCAUAUGAUACAUGCAUGUGUGUCAAGUUUCAUUUGUAAUAAAUUACAUUAGCUGAAUUUAAACAGAUUAAGUUUCCUAAUGCAGGGCGAAAGCAUAGUGUAUUCAGUUUGAUCUUGUUCCCAUAUUUAUUUGUUCUCGGCAUAGCUAAACUCUCAAAUUGUAAAAUCAUUUGUCCAGUUUACAUAUUUUCAAUCAGAAGUCAUCUUGUUUUGUUCAUAAAUUGUGUCAUUUAUAGUUUAACUUUCCUCGUCAUGUAAUUAUCUGUUUCUAGGUAUUGGAGGGCAUAGCACAUAACCUGUGGGCCAAUAGGCUAAGGUUUUCAAAUGUUAUUUACCCCUCGUGUCUAUUAUAGGCUAGGUACAUUUCUGCCAUCUUAUUAAGUACUCAUAUUUCUAUAUAAUGAACUCAGAUUUUAAGACAAUAGUCCUUUCCCGAUAAUAAAAGAUGUAUUUUAUGAGGUAGUACAGUCGUAGACUUUUCUUAUGUUCUGAUUUGUCAUUCCACCUCGCUGAAAGAGCUUGUAAAUUUGUAAUUGGUUCAACAAAUAGCAUACACUUUCUUUCUGUUUGAAAAGUCUGAACUUUGUAGCUCAGCGGCUACUUUGCGGGUGUAUUUAAAUCUUUUGGCCACACUAGGAAAGGGUAGACUAUUUUAGGUGAUAAGUGGGUUGGUUAAUGUUGUAGUCCCUUUUUUAUUGGAAUGUUUUAUGUUUCUCUACAUUAGUUUUGGUAGAAAAUCCACAUCUACAAUGGCAUCUCUUCCGUUUUUGGUGUUCUCCUGAAAGAGCGAAGGGGCAAAGGGUUUCUUCAGUAUUGCACAAGACUUUGAUCUAUCUGGCUGGUUCUGCUUCAGCUGGGGUUAUUGGCUUAUUGCUGAUGUUUCCCUCUGCUCUAUGGAGGCAGCGGCAUAUGUAGGAUUCUUACAUACAUAUGCUUGAGGGGUACAUUUUUCUUUUGUUUCUUCAGUUGGGGUGUAAAGAGUAAAAGAAAAAAAAACUCCACUAGACACGUACAUUUUUCUUUUGAGGGGUACCCAGCCAUGUGCGUAUGCUCGAGCUAUAGAGAAAAAAAAUUGUCGCUCACUCUGGAACCCAUCGAUCAAUUGGGGGAAUUGCAGUUCUGGUCUGAUGGCCUUUUAAGUGCUAGGCCAGCUGCUUAGUUAAUGGCUUGAGGGGGAAAUAUAAAGGGUGUUAGAUGAUAGGAGGUGCGCAGGGCUGCUUUGCUACAAGGCACUAAAUUUUCAGAUUAUUAUAGCUAGCAAACUGCACAUAUAUGUAUAAACCUUGGUAAACGUCGAAGUUGAUUCGGUCGUCGGUGAUUCAGCGAUGAAUGAACUAAACCUCAUGGUCUGCAAUUGGUAGUAGUAGUUGUUUGUUACUGAACUUUGAAAUUGAUUCAGCGAUGAAUGAAUUAAACCUCAUGGUCUGUAAUUGGUAGUAGUACUUGUUUGUUACUGAACUUUGAAAUUGGUUUGCGUAAAUUUGGAAUAUGCCUGACAUAUUUUACUCGGCCGCGGUUCAGCUAUUAGGUUUGCUUCAAAAUUUUACUUUCUGUGAGCAUCACUUUCUUAGGGCAUCUGAUUCCUAACAGCCCUCUAAUGGAUUCAUUAUGCAUAUGCAUUUCUCAAUAGGGAAAAAGGAAAAACAUCUAUUAUUACUAGGUAAAAAACCGCGGAUGACAAAGUGAGCCAAAAGCAGGCUCGAGGUUUCUUAUCCUAAGCACCUGACCUGAGAUAGCUUCUAAAAAAUCCAUAAUCAGAAAGGGUCAAGGAAAAUUCAUAUGAGAUCAGAAUACAUUGAUCAAGCGAUUUAUUUAGAGGAGUAUUUUAUUACAUGCGUGUGUAGUACGGGUUGUUGUUUCACAAUAGUUUUCAUGGCCUCUAAGCAUCAUUAUUCAUGUGUGAACUUUCAAUAUUUGUGAUUUUGGUUCUGGUUGCAUAAGAAUUUAUCGAAUGCUUUUAGGAUCCCAGCAAAUAAGGAAGCUAACAAUGAUGGACAUACCUAGCAUUUUUGGGCCCGGAGAUAGGUUCAUCACUCUCUACGAGGGCAUAAAUCAUCAUCCAGAUCCAGAUUCCAUUUUCAGGAAUAAGACCGUCGCACAGCUAGGAUGUGGCAAUGGUUGGAUAUCCAUUGCGCUUGCAGAAAAAUGGUGCCCUUCCAAGUUAAUUCAAGGAGGACCCUACAUCUAAACGUAACAGAUCAGCUUAUAUCAUAAUUCCAUUGCUGGAUUUCUAGAAGAAUGAAAAAGGGAGAAAUGGUUGUUUCAUUUGGUGUGCGAAUCUGGUUUAAAGUGUGCCUGCUUAUAUCUGGUAGAUCUUGGUUGCAAAAGUAUAUCAGGAAGAUCUUGGUUGCAAAAGUGAUCAGAUAUACUCCUCUGUACCAAAAUGUAAGACGUUUUUUUCAGUUCAAUUGAACUGCAAAAAUAUCUUAUACUUUCGUACGGAGGGAGUAAUAGUCAACACAACUAGGUUGGUUCUGUAAUUAAAUGCCUAGCUAAGAUCUUGUAGUUUUGAAUCAAAUAGUUUGACUACACAAAGAAUUAUAUUUACUUUGUGUAAGAUCUUGUAAUUCUGAACCAAGUUAAUCCUAAAUC